This 253-nucleotide ribosomal RNA is filed under the name uncultured bacterium. RNAcentral describes it as "partial 16S ribosomal RNA". It matches the Rfam family "Bacterial small subunit ribosomal RNA", at positions 524 to 776 of the family's 1533-position model. The record is from RNAcentral.
UACGUAGGGGGCCAGCGUUGUCCGGAUUUAUUGGGCGUAAAGCGCGUGUAGGCGGCUUUACAUGUCCGUUGUGAAAACUCGAGGCUCAACCUCGAGACGCCGGUGGAAACCGUAAAGCUAGAGUCCGGAAGAGGAGAGUGGAAUUCCUGGUGUAGCGGUGAAAUGCGCAGAUAUCAGGAGGAACACCCGUGGCGAAAGCGGCUCUCUGGGACGGUACUGACGCUGAGACGCGAAAGCGUGGGGAGCAAACAGG